RNAcentral lists this long non-coding RNA (242 nucleotides) under Hordeum vulgare. Its description in RNAcentral is "long non-coding RNA (HVUL_LNC017882)". Lineage: Eukaryota; Viridiplantae; Streptophyta; Magnoliopsida; Poales; Poaceae. The record is from RNAcentral.
UCCUAUCCAAACCCUAGUCUAUCUCUUGUAACCAAUCGCCGUCUCGCGACGCUGAUUGGUACCCGUAAGGUUGCUAGUAGUGUUGAUUACUCUUUGUAGUUGAUGCUAGUUGGUUUACUUGGUGGAAGAUUAUAUGUUCAGAUCCAUUAUGAUAUUCAUUACUUCUCUGGUCAUGAAUAUAUCCAUGCUUUGUGAGUAGUUACUUUUGCUCCUGAGGACAUGGGAUAAGUCUUUCUAUUAAU